RNAcentral lists this ribosomal RNA (460 nucleotides) under uncultured bacterium. Its description in RNAcentral is "partial 16S ribosomal RNA". It matches the Rfam family "Bacterial small subunit ribosomal RNA", at positions 338 to 795 of the family's 1533-position model. The record is from RNAcentral.
CCUACGGGAGGCAGCAGUGAGGAAUAUUGGUCAAUGGACGAGAGUCUGAACCAGCCAAGUAGCGUGAAGGAUGACUGCCCUAUGGGUUGUAAACUUCUUUUAUAUGGGAAUAAAAUGUUCCACGUGUGGGAUUUUGUAUGUACCAUAUGCAUAAGGAUCGGCUAACUCCGUGCCAGCAGCCGCGGUAAUACGGAGGAUCCGAGCGUUAUCCGGAUUUCUUGGGUUUAAAGGGAGCGUAGGUGGAUUGUUAAGUCAGUUGUGAAAGUUUGCGGCUCAACCGUAAAAUUGCAGUUGAAACUGGCAGUCUUGAGUACAGUAGAGGUGGGCGGAAUUCGUGGUGUAGCGGUGAAAUGCUUAGAUAUCACGAAGAACUCCGAUUGCGAAGGCAGCUCACUGGACUGCAACUGACACUGAGGCUCGAAAGUGUGGGUAUCAAACAGGAUUAGAUACCCGGGUAGUC